GAGGGGCAGCGGGUUGAAAGCUUGCUUUCAAUGCCGGCGACCGGCGCACGGGUGCGUAACGCGUAUCAAACCUGCCUCAUACUCGGGGAUAGCCUUGCGAAAGUAAGAUUAAUACCCUAUGUUGUUGCUUUCUCGCAUGGGAGAGCAACCAAAGAUUCAUCGGUAUGAGAUGGUGAUGCGUCCGAUUAGGUAGUAGGCGGGGUAACAGCCCGCCUAGCCUUCGAUCGGUAGGGGUUCUGAGAGGAAGGUCCCCCACACUGGAACUGAGACACGGUCCAGACUCCUACGGGAGGCAGCAGUGAGGAAUAUUGGUCAAUGGGCGAGAGCCUGAACCAGCCAAGUAGCGUGCAGGAUGACGGCCCUCCGGGUUGUAAACUGCUUUUAGUUGGGAAUAAAAAAAGGGACUUGUCCCUUCUUGUAUGUACCUUCAGAAAAAGGACCGGCUAAUUCCGUGCCAGCAGCCGCGGUAAUACGGAAGGUCCAGGCGUUAUCCGGAUUUAUUGGGUUUAAAGGGAGCGUAGGCGGAUUGUUAAGUCAGCGGUCAAAGGGUGUGGCUCAACCAUGCAUUGCCGUUGAAACUGGCGAUCUUGAGUGCAGACAGGGAUGCCGGAAUUCGUGGUGUAGCGGUGAAAUGCUUAGAUAUCACGAAGAACUCCGAUCGCGAAGGCAGGUGUCCGGGCUGCAACUGACGCUGAGGCUCGAAAGUGUGGGUAUCAAACAGGAUUAGAUACCCUGGUAGUCCACACAGUAAACGAUGUAUACUCGCGGUUUGCGAUAGAUUGUAAGCCGCCAAGCGA
Molecule: ribosomal RNA, 797 nt
Filed under: uncultured Bacteroidota bacterium
Lineage: Bacteria; Pseudomonadati; Bacteroidota
Description: bacterial SSU rRNA
Rfam family: Bacterial small subunit ribosomal RNA
Source: RNAcentral